CCUACGGGGGGCUGCAGUGAGGGAUAUUGCGCAAUGGGCGAAAGCCUGACGCAGCGACGCCGCGUGAGUGAUGAAGGCCUUCGGGUCGUAAAACUCUUUUCUGUGUGACGAGCAAGGACGGUAGCACAGGAAUAAGUCUCGGCUAACUACGUGCCAGCAGCCGCGGUAAAACGUAGGAGACAAACGUUAUCCGGAGUUACUGGGCGUAAAGGGCGUGCAGGUGGUUCGCUAAGUCUGGCGUGAAAUAUUUCGGCUUAACCGGGAUAUGUCGUCGGAGACUGGCGGACUAGAGGGUGAUAGAGGCGUGUGGAAUUCCGGGUGUAGUGGUGAAAUGCGUAGAGAUCCGGAGGAACACCAGUGGCGAAGGCGACACGCUGGGUCACACCUGACACUGAUACGCGACAGCAUGGGGAGCGAACGGGAUUAGAUACCCUAGUAGUC
RNAcentral lists this ribosomal RNA (441 nucleotides) under uncultured bacterium. Its description in RNAcentral is "partial 16S ribosomal RNA". It matches the Rfam family "Bacterial small subunit ribosomal RNA", at positions 338 to 795 of the family's 1533-position model. The record is from RNAcentral.